Molecule: ribosomal RNA, 263 nt
Filed under: uncultured bacterium
Lineage: Bacteria
Description: partial 16S ribosomal RNA
Rfam family: Bacterial small subunit ribosomal RNA
Source: RNAcentral
UACGGAGGGUGCAAGCGUUAUCCGGAUUCACUGGGUUUAAAGGGUGCGUAGGCGGACUGAUAAGUCAGUGGUGAAAUCUCCUCGCUUAACGGGGAAACUGCCAUUGAUACUAUUGGUCUUGAAUUCGGUUGAGGUGAGUGGAAUAUGUCAUGUAGCGGUGAAAUGCUUAGAUAUGACAUAGAACACCCAUUGCGAAGGCAGCUCACUAAGCCGAUAUUGACGCUGAGGCACGAAAGCGUGGGGAUCAAACAGGAUUAGAACCG